GAUGAACGCUAGCGAUAGGCUUAACACAUGCAAGUCGAGGGGCAGCACAAGGUAGCUUGCUAUCUGGGUGGCGACCGGCGCACGGGUGCGUAACGCGUAUGCAACUUGCCCUAUACAGGAGGAUAACCCGUCGAAAGACGGACUAAUACUGCGUAUGCUCACAACUUGGCAUCAAGUGGUGAGGAAAGAAAUUCGGUAUAGGAUAGGCAUGCGUCCCAUUAGCUUGUUGGUGAGGUAACGGCUCACCAAGGCAACGAUGGGUAGGGGAACUGAGAGGUUUAUCCCCCACACUGGUACUGAGACACGGACCAGACUCCUACGGGAGGCAGCAGUGAGGAAUAUUGGUCAAUGGGCGCGAGCCUGAACCAGCCAAGUCGCGUGAAGGAUGACUGUCUUAUGGAUUGUAAACUUCUUUUAUAAGGGAAUAACAAGAGUCACGUGUGACUCCCUGCAUGUACCGGAUGAAUAAGCAGCGGCUAACUCCGUG
RNAcentral lists this ribosomal RNA (487 nucleotides) under uncultured bacterium. RNAcentral describes it as "partial 16S ribosomal RNA". It matches the Rfam family "Bacterial small subunit ribosomal RNA", at positions 28 to 507 of the family's 1533-position model. The record is from RNAcentral.